This 744-nucleotide long non-coding RNA is filed under the name Homo sapiens (human). RNAcentral's name for it is "long intergenic non-protein coding RNA 1093". The record is from RNAcentral. Lineage: Eukaryota; Metazoa; Chordata; Mammalia; Primates; Hominidae.
UGGCUAGUGAGCAAUGCAAUUCUGGGAAUGUUCAGGCUCUCUCUGUUCUUUCCUCUCUUGCAAACCAUGGGCACCCUUGGGUCCCUUGGGGUCACUAUGUUACACCUGCUUUUUAUCUGUCUGGGCAAGAGCUGCUCAAGCCACACCUUGUGACACUGAGCAGCCUCAGGAGGACAACGUCAGAAACCAAAAGCUCCUCUGCCCAGGGAUGGGGACCCGCCGACUUCAAGGGCAGAACAGGAGGACAGCACAUUGCACUCUCACCUCCUUUGCAGUUAAGUGUGAAAUAGUGCCAAUAGAGUGUAAAAGAAAAGAAAGAAGAUGAUUCACCUCCCAAAGAUUCCCCACUGCUGUGUCCCUUCUAUCAACUUGAUACAAAAAAACACAAUGGCCCCGGGAACCACGUGUUGAAGAUGAGAGAGCUAAAAGAUGGAAAGAGACUGGAGCCCUGAGUCACCACCUGGAGGAAAACUACCCACCCAUCAGGAAUUUCUACUACACAUUUGGGAGUUUUUGGGGUUACAGCAGCUAAUUUAACGAAAACACCCAGAGACAAGAGCUAUUACUGCACAAAUUGGUUAAGUUACCUUUUUGUAUGUUUGGGUCCUCUCUAUUCGAUGAGACUGCGCGUUCCUUUGAAGCAAAUCUGUUUAAAAUUCUUAUAUCCCCAGAGGGCCUAGCAGAGAGUAUGCACAGAGUGAGCCUUCAGUAAAUGCUGAGUAAAUAAGCUCCUAAUGGAUGAAA